This 330-nucleotide unclassified non-coding RNA is filed under the name Hevea brasiliensis (rubber tree). The record is from RNAcentral. Lineage: Eukaryota; Viridiplantae; Streptophyta; Magnoliopsida; Malpighiales; Euphorbiaceae.
CUGGUCAGAGAGAGAACUGUUUAAUGUGGCUUUUGAAAACACUGAAGAUGUAUUUAACCGAACUUUACAUUUUGACACAGGACAUUGGUUGUCAUCCCCAGUGAGAUGUUCACAGAUGCAUUGGUUGCAGAAAACAUGACUGCAUACUGAAACAACAGCAUCCUCUGGUGGAUCAUUACAGAUGCCACAGAUUGCCAAAGACGCUUCUAGGCAGUUCAAAAGGCACAUCUGUUUCUCCCUAGGGAGCUUCUUUGCCAUCUCAAUUGAGGAUCUUCCAAAAGAAAUUGAAUCUAAGCCCCUAACAAGAAAAGGAUGAUCACAAGCUUGACG